AAAUUGAAGAGUUUGAUCAUGGCUCAGAUUGAACGCUGGCGGCAGGCCUAACACAUGCAAGUCGAGCGGUAGCACAGAGAGCUUGCUCUCGGGUGACGAGCGGCGGACGGGUGAGUAAUGUCUGGGAAACUGCCUGAUGGAGGGGGAUAACUACUGGAAACGGUAGCUAAUACCGCAUAACGUCGCAAGACCAAAGUGGGGGACCUUCGGGCCUCAUGCCAUCAGAUGUGCCCAGAUGGGAUUAGCUAGUAGGUGGGGUAACGGCUCACCUAGGCGACGAUCCCUAGCUGGUCUGAGAGGAUGACCAGCCACACUGGAACUGAGACACGGUCCAGACUCCUACGGGAGGCAGCAGUGGGGAAUAUUGCACAAUGGGCGCAAGCCUGAUGCAGCCAUGCCGCGUGUGUGAAGAAGGCCUUCGGGUUGUAAAGCACUUUCAGCGGGGAGGAAGGCGAUAAGGUUAAUAACCUUGUCGAUUGACGUUACCCGCAGAAGAAGCACCGGCUAACUCCGUGCCAGCAGCCGCGGUAAUACGGAGGGUGCAAGCGUUAAUCGGAAUUACUGGGCGUAAAGCGCACGCAGGCGGUCUGUCAAGUCGGAUGUGAAAUCCCCGGGCUUAACCUGGGAACUGCAUUCGAAACUGGCAGGCUAGAGUCUUGUAGAGGGGGUAGAAUUCCAGGUGUAGCGGUGAAAUGCGUAGAGAUCUGGAGGAAUACCGGUGGCGAAGGCGGCCCCCUGGACAAAGACUGACGCUCAGGUGCGAAAGCGUGGGGAGCAAACAGGAUUAGAUACCCUGGUAGUCCACGCCGUAAACGAUGUCGAUUUGGAGGUUGUGCCCUUGAGGCGUGGCUUCCGGAGCUAACGCGUUAAAUCGACCGCCUGGGGAGUACGGCCGCAAGGUUAAAACUCAAAUGAAUUGACGGGGGCCCGCACAAGCGGUGGAGCAUGUGGUUUAAUUCGAUGCAACGCGAAGAACCUUACCUGGUCUUGACAUCCACAGAACUUUCCAGAGAUGGAUUGGUGCCUUCGGGAACUGUGAGACAGGUGCUGCAUGGCUGUCGUCAGCUCGUGUUGUGAAAUGUUGGGUUAAGUCCCGCAACGAGCGCAACCCUUAUCCUUUGUUGCCAGCGGUUAGGCCGGGAACUCAAAGGAGACUGCCAGUGAUAAACUGGAGGAAGGUGGGGAUGACGUCAAGUCAUCAUGGCCCUUACGACCAGGGCUACACACGUGCUACAAUGGCAUAUACAAAGAGAAGCGACCUCGCGAGAGCAAGCGGACCUCAUAAAGUAUGUCGUAGUCCGGAUUGGAGUCUGCAACUCGACUCCAUGAAGUCGGAAUCGCUAGUAAUCGUAGAUCAGAAUGCUACGGUGAAUACGUUCCCGGGCCUUGUACACACCGCCCGUCACACCAUGGGAGUGGGUUGCAAAAGAAGUAGGUAGCUAACCUUCGGGAGGGCGCUUACCACUUUGUGAUUCAUGACUGGGGUGAAGUCGUAACAAGGUAACCGUAGGGGAACCUGCGGUUGGAUCACCUCCUUA
This 1538-nucleotide ribosomal RNA is filed under the name Klebsiella pneumoniae. Its description in RNAcentral is "bacterial SSU rRNA". It matches the Rfam family "Bacterial small subunit ribosomal RNA". The record is from RNAcentral. Lineage: Bacteria; Pseudomonadati; Pseudomonadota; Gammaproteobacteria; Enterobacterales; Enterobacteriaceae.